Cherax quadricarinatus is the source of this 1555-nucleotide non-coding RNA. The record is from RefSeq and is a predicted model, not a curated record. Lineage: Eukaryota; Metazoa; Arthropoda; Malacostraca; Decapoda; Parastacidae.
AAACAAUGACAGUCCUCUUAAUGGCCAUGCAGCUGAACUAUGGGCUAACCAGGUAGCAUACAAGAAGCACCUCAUAGAACAUUACAAGAAGGCAAAUGGAGAACCAUAAUUAAGCUGGUCCCACUUCACAUGCAUAUCCUGUUGCAGCCACCAUAAAUGGAGGAAUUACACAUCCACGUCUGUACUGUAGUAGGUUCACUGGCCUUGUCCUGGCCUGGGUCUUUUCCAGAUGGUGACCUGGUGCAUCCACAUCUUAUUUGAAAAUUGACAUAUCCCUCACAAGUAUUCUACAGCAGAAUAACUACAGUAGUUUUUGUAAUUAUGUAAUAGUUUUGCUGAUCAUUGUGUGGCAUCUCCCAUAACCUUUGGAUUUUGUAUAUGGUACAACCUUUGGAUUUUGUAUAUGGUACAUCAUAGUGUACACUUUUGUAUUAGUCAAGCUAUGUAAAAGUUUUGCUUUGGGAUACUUCUUAUGAUGAUGUUGAAUUAAUCCAACAUUGUUUAUGCUGUUUUAGACCUCUUAUAUUGUCUUUAAUGAUAUUGCCCCACUCUCAUUUUACCUAAUAUAGUUUUUAGCAAAAUUCUUUUUAUCUUCACAUUUCAAGAAAGUGCUUUGCUACUGAUGAAUGCACUAUAUGCUUCAUUUACAGAAUGAUUUUUUAUAUUUUCAUUUUUCACUACUGUGUUGCAAGUACAGUAACAUAACUGAGUAAUACACUUGAUUUGUAAUGACCAUGUUUUUCUGGAAAGACAGAUGAAGAAUGGGUGGCGAUAAUUGUGUGUUGAAUAUUUGAGUCACCCGGUGUUGGUAGGAAAUUGAAAAUGGAUUAAAAAAAAAAAAAACAUGACUGAAACAUUUGUAUUCUUCCUUUAUGUACAAGUGAAAGACUUACUAUACACAUCAACUGGCUGUGAAAGUAUAGUAAAAUAAAGUGCUGUAUUUUAUUAUAUCCAAAAUAUUUGAUAUAGUGAAAAGAAAUUCACCUUGAGAUGUAAAAUUACUUAGUAGAUUGGUUAGAGCCGAAAUAUAAAAUAAGUGUAUUUAGAAGCAGUUAUCCUCAUACAUGAAGAUGGUACGUUGUAAAAAUAAUGGAAAUUUUUUUGUAAAUGAGAAUACUUGUUUGCAGUGUAAAAUUAAAAGUAUUAUUUUAAAAUGACUUUUACAGUUAAACUAGUGUUGGAUAUUUUAAAACUGCUACAUCAUCUUUUGAAUGUAGAUAUUAGCAUUUUCUUGCUCAGUAAGUCAACCCAAAAGGGUCAUACAGCAACUAAUUAUGUUUAGUGCUUAAUUUGAUUAUAUUAUUAUUAGGUGAUUUAGUGAUACCUACAGGAGGGGAGUAUUGAUGAGGAUGUAUUCCUCUUCUGAAGUAUUGGUUUGAAUGUCAUUCUAAAACAUAUUAAUGUAAUUAUCAGAGCAUUGUGCAAUAUGCGUGGUGAUAAAAAAAAUAAGUGAAUAGUAUGAAAAAGCUUUAAAAUUCUUUUGUAUUGAUGUUGAAGCUUGAUAUUUAGGGCAUUUGAAAUGCAAAAAAAAAAAAAAAAAAAAAAAAAAUGAAAA